This 253-nucleotide ribosomal RNA is filed under the name uncultured bacterium. RNAcentral describes it as "partial 16S ribosomal RNA". It matches the Rfam family "Bacterial small subunit ribosomal RNA", at positions 524 to 776 of the family's 1533-position model. The record is from RNAcentral.
UACGUAGGGUGCAAGCGUUGUCCGGAAUUAUUGGGCGUAAAGAGCUCGUAGGCGGCUCGUCACGUCGGCUGUGAAAACCCGGGGCUCAACCCCCGGGCCUGCAGUCGAUACGGGCGAGCUAGAGUUCGGCAGGGGAGACUGGAAUUCCUGGUGUAGCGGUGAAAUGCGCAGAUAUCCGGAGGAACACCGGUGGCGAAGGCGGGUCUCUGGGCCGAUACUGACGCUGAGAAGCGAAAGCUGGGGAGCGAACAGG